RNAcentral lists this long non-coding RNA (2852 nucleotides) under Nicotiana benthamiana. Its description in RNAcentral is "long non-coding RNA (NBEN_LNC028649)". Lineage: Eukaryota; Viridiplantae; Streptophyta; Magnoliopsida; Solanales; Solanaceae. The record is from RNAcentral.
GUCAAACAACAAUUCUAGUUAUUAAUUAAACGCAUAACUUAGAAAUACAAAAUAACAUGUUUUAUACUAUUAUUUUUGAAGAAAAAUUCAUAAUUAAAACAUUUCUACAAGGUUCAACACCCAUGCACAUUUGUCUGAUCCCAGACUUGCUUAAAUGAGUCCUAAUAUCGGGCUUCGUUGCAAGUCUGGCCCAAUUCAUGCUAUGUCCCAAACCAUUAUACCAUAUAAUAAUAAUGUCCAUUACAAGAGGAAAAAAGGGUCCAACUGCUAUAACCCAAUAGAUAAAUUAAACGAAAAUUGAAUUUAAAAAUCAUUAUAACUCUCCAUUUCUUCUACUGAAAGUUCACAAAUUUACAUAAUUUUCCUGAUUACAGUUAUAUAUCUAGAAAAAAAGGUUAAGGCCAAGAGCCAACUUUCUUCAUAAUUUGGAGUCUCCCAACUAUUACAAAAUCUUUCAAAAAGAUACCUUCAACCAGCAAGAAAUCAACUAUAGAGCAGUUUCUUUCUGACUAGCACUUAAUUCCAACUCUGAAGCUUUUUACUGCUCAUCAAGCUUUUGUUUCAGCCUAGACUUUCAUUAACCAUGCGAAAAGGUCGGACUCACAAAAAUAUCUUCAAAUGUAUGGACCUACAGUAUUAUCAAAUAUAUCUUAAAUAACCUAAUGCAAGAAUGAUUAAAAGGAAAACCAAUAUCGUUCAUGAGUCUGAUCAUGUUUAAGGUCUGCCUCAUGAACAAACAAAGACUUCUAAACCAAGAUCUUACUCUAAGUUCUCAUCUUAGUUAAUAAGAAAGAAAGGGGAAGGGAAACAAACUUGGACAUAUGCUAGAUGAGUUAAGAAUCUAUGCAAUAUUAAGGAGUGAAUUUGACCAUUUAAAGGGUCCGAUUCAUUUCCGUUAGUGCUACUAUCAAAAAGGGAUUUGAAUAUAGUAUUAUAGUAUAUAGAAAUACUUAUUCAGCCAUCAAACAUUGACAUAUACAACACAAAUAUUUUAGAUUUCAUGAUCAAAUGCAAAAGUCGUUUAAGGUAAUAUCACACAGAGUUUAUAGACAUUAGUCAACCCUAAAUUCACAAAAUUAUGGAUUCUAAAACUAACAGCAAAGUUCUGCCAAAUAAAAAAACAGGUUUAAAACAUAAAUUUUGAACUCAAAGUUAAUUCUAUUUAGGAUGGACAUAGUUACAUAUCUUGAAAUUGAAAACACAAAUAGAGAAAUGACCAUAUAAAGGUCAAGGAGAAAAGAACCAAGAAGCUUCAGCAACCAAACACAUCAAUGAACAACAACCGAAUAGAUCCCAGAAGAAGAAUUUUCAGCUUCAAACUAUUUUUAACUGAUGAAAACCAGAAAUAUUCAAAGAAGUUCUUCAUUUUUUUCUAAAAAUCAAAGGAAAAUAAGACAACUGAACCUUUUUUAGAGUGUAUUUCUUAGGGUUUUUAAAUUUGCCCUCCUUUUUAUGUAUAAUAUCUCUACAUAAGCUACCUAGGAUAGGUAUUCUUUUGGAAUAUUCCUUAUCCUAUAGCAAAAUAUAGUAAUGUCUUUUUUUAUAGCCUUGAUAUAGUUAUCCCUUUUUAUCCUAUAUUUCAGCAUCUUUUCACAAUAAUUAAGAUAGAUUUACCCUUUCUAGAAAAUUCUUUUCCUUAGUUAUUUUAUGAAAACUUAUCCUAAAUUUUUUUAUUCAAUUAGGUCCCUAUAAGUCUUAGUGAUUUACAUACUAGGGAAAACAAGAAAUAAAAUCUAUCAAAAAAUCCAAAAAUGCAAAUUAAAAGAUGUCAACAGAAAUAAAAUACAAGAGAUGAUGCAAUUUAACUAAAAUUAACCUAAUUACUAACAAAAGGUGCUUUAUCUAAUUAACCACAGUACUCAAAUUAACAAUUAUCAGAAAAAUCAAAAAGAAAACCUAGAAGUUCAAGUAAUCAUGUAUAUCAAUCAAAACAGAUUGAUUAACUCAAUUAAUACGUGAAAUCUAAUUGCAGAACAUGGGAGAGGAACAUUUAAACAAAGCAAAGAUAGAAUAAAAUUCACCAAAAACCCUUAUUAGGACUAAACCUAUGAAAAAUUUAUAAUAGCAAGAUUCAGCAUACUUUAAAAACAAGUUGACAAUACCAAUCGAAGGGGAAAGUGUCACUAUCUAAAUCAUAUAAGCUAAAAGGAAGAAGCAAGUGGGUGAAAAAUUAGUAUUGAAAUAAGAACAGAAAGAAAGAAAACAAACAAAAAACCAAAAAAAUAAAAAAAAAGAAAAAAGAAAAAGAAUUACCUAAUGUUGUUCUGGACUGGGCCAGUUGAUGAACUAUCUUGAAUGAAACACUCGUGAACUUAUACAACCACUAAUUGGUUGUUCUUAACAAGAACAAUCGAUUAAUGGACGUUUGGGUUCACAAACCCCAAAUACUAACCGAGAAAAGAAUAAAGGAAAACUAGGAUUUUUCGGAAUCUUUGAUUUAAGAUUCGACAAGAUUAAGGGUAAUUCGAAGGGAACCAAAGAGAUAUUUGGGAAGAGGAGGAGGAGAAGGAGGUUGCAUGGUGUAGUUUUGGGUUGAUUUGGAGAAGUUAGGAUUUUUGGGCAUGAAACUCCAAUUUGAAAUUCAAGAUUUUUGGUGAUGAUUUGAAAUAAAUGAGUCAUAUUUGGAACAAGGAAAUAAUGGGGGUUCUGGGAUGUUAAAUUGGUGGUGUUUGGGGCACCGGAACUGGCGUGAGGCGAUUUUUGGUGGGUGGUUGAUGGCGGAGGCGGAGGAGGAAAUUGGGGUGGCAAAGGUUCUUAGGGUUUGGGUGUUAGAGAAGAAGUGAGAGGGAUUGAAAUUGGGGAGGAGGGAGGAGUUUUGGACAGUCAUAUAGUUAAUGAUCAACCAGUUCCCA